UGGGGAAUAUUGGACAAUGGGGGCAACCCUGAUCCAGCCAUGCCGCGUGGGUGAAGAAGGCCUUAGGGUUGUAAAACCCUUUCAGCGGGGAAGAUGAUGACGGUACCCGCAGAAGAAGCCCCGGCUAACUCCGUGCCAGCAGCCGCGGUAAUACGGAGGGGGCUAGCGUUGUUCGGAAUUACUGGGCGUAAAGGGCGUGUAGGCGGCUUGUCUAGUCAGACGUGAAAGCCCCGGGCUUAACCUGGGAACUGCGUUUGAUACUGGCAGGCUAGAGGUUGGAAGAGGAGAGUGGAAUUCCCAGUGUAGAGGUGAAAUUCGUAGAUAUUGGGAAGAACACCAGUGGCGAAGGCAGCCAUCUGGCUCGGUAUUGACGCUGAGGCGCGAAAGCAUGGGGAGCAAACAGGAUUAGAUACCCCGGUAGUCC
RNAcentral lists this ribosomal RNA (424 nucleotides) under uncultured prokaryote. RNAcentral's name for it is "bacterial SSU rRNA". It matches the Rfam family "Bacterial small subunit ribosomal RNA", at positions 355 to 796 of the family's 1533-position model. The record is from RNAcentral.